Centrocercus urophasianus (Greater sage-grouse) is the source of this 480-nucleotide long non-coding RNA. RefSeq lists it as uncharacterized. The record is from RefSeq and is a predicted model, not a curated record. The transcript has 3 exons. Lineage: Eukaryota; Metazoa; Chordata; Aves; Galliformes; Phasianidae.
AGUGAAACACUCCAACGUAUGCCUUGCUGUUCGUUGGCACAGUGGGGUUGGGCAGGAUGGGGUGAGAUGGGAAGGAAAAACAAAAGCCCGGAGGUCGUUGGGGAGGCGAAGCAGCUCCGACCGCUAAUCGUGGUUGGCAUCAAGCUGAAGGCAGGAGUUUACAUGGCAACCCACAGGAAGGGGGUUGCAGAAAGGAAAUGAGGACACUGCGGUUGCCUCAGGAGAAGCUGUGAGCCCCUGGGGAGCCUGCAGAAGAGCAGGGCUGUGGGACGGGAGACCCUGGACGGAGCAUGGAGCUCACACACCUGAGCACGGUUCUUCUGCUGCUGUUGUUCCCUGGCACCGUGCCAGGCCAGGACAGCUGUGAUGCGCUGUCUCGUGGGGACAAGACCAAGCAGUGCUGCAACAUGGCGGUGGAGCUGGAGGAACGUGGUGAGGGCCGUAGUCUGACCCUGGAGCUGCCCCACCAGUGCAUGGAGC